This 399-nucleotide long non-coding RNA is filed under the name Homo sapiens (human). RNAcentral's name for it is "long non-coding RNA NONHSAT161276". Lineage: Eukaryota; Metazoa; Chordata; Mammalia; Primates; Hominidae. The record is from RNAcentral.
CCCAGGCCUGGAGACCCACCUGUGCCAGCUGACCUGAGCAGAGGGACUCUGAUGUCUUCCCCCGGCUUUUGAUAGGAUGAGGCUCCUUUCUUCCCAGGACUCCCACAGCAAGCUCAAUUUAGGGCUUCCCAAGGACCCCUCCCUGUCUCUCCUAUUUGCUGUGAGUUCAGCAAAGGACGCUGCAGGCAGCUGAUAUAUCUCCCAGAACUGCAGGCCCACCCACACAGGAUAGGUGCUUGUGGUGACUGGGGACUGACAGCCAGCAGGGCUUUUGGGAGCUGGGAAUUCCCAGCAGAACUGAUCUGGAAUCUGGCUUCCACUUUGCUCCGGGUGCUCCCUGAGCACACUCUCAACCUCCGCAGGCCCUGGCCUCCUCAGCUGUGCAAUGGAGGCAACAAA